GAUGAAGAACGUAGUGAAAUGCGAUACGUAAUGUGAAUUGCAGAAUUCAGUGAAUCAUCGAGUCUUUGAACGCACAUUGCGCCCCCUGGUAUUCCGGGGGGCAUGCCUGUCCGAGCGUCAUUGCUACCCUCAAGCACGGCUUGUGUGUUGGGCCUCCGUCCUCCUCCCGGGGGACGGGCCCGAAAGGCAGCGGCGGCACCGCGUCCGGUCCUCGAGCGUAUGGGGCUUCGUCACCCGCUCUUGUAGGCCCGGCCGGCGCUUGCCGACACAUCAAUCUUUUUUCCAGGUUGACCUCGGAUCAGGUAGGGAUACCCGCUGAACUUAAGCAUAUCAAUAAGCGGAGGA
Molecule: unclassified non-coding RNA, 345 nt
Filed under: soil metagenome
Description: partial contains 5.8S ribosomal RNA, internal transcribed spacer 2, and large subunit ribosomal RNA
Rfam family: 5.8S ribosomal RNA (bases 1-120)
Source: RNAcentral